RNAcentral lists this ribosomal RNA (301 nucleotides) under uncultured bacterium. RNAcentral describes it as "partial 16S ribosomal RNA". It matches the Rfam family "Bacterial small subunit ribosomal RNA", at positions 509 to 809 of the family's 1533-position model. The record is from RNAcentral.
CAGCCGCCGCGGGAAUACGAAGGGGGCUAGCGUUGUUCGGAAUUACUGGGCGUAAAGGGCGCGUAAGCGGCCAUUCAAGUUAGAUGAGAAAGCCCUGGGCUCAACCUUGGAACUGCCUUUGAUACUGGAAGUCUUGAGUCCGGGAGAGGUGAGUAGAACUGCGAGUGUAGAGGUGAAAUUCGUAGACAUUCGCAAGAACACCAGUGGCGAAGGCGGCUCACUGGCCCGGUACUGACGCUGAGGCGCGAAAGCGUGGGGAGCAAACAGGAUUAGAUACCCCUGUAGUCCCUGUCUCUUAUAA